RNAcentral lists this ribosomal RNA (341 nucleotides) under uncultured Pseudomonadota bacterium. RNAcentral describes it as "bacterial SSU rRNA". It matches the Rfam family "Bacterial small subunit ribosomal RNA", at positions 29 to 351 of the family's 1533-position model. The record is from RNAcentral. Lineage: Bacteria; Pseudomonadati; Pseudomonadota.
AACAAACGCUGGCGGCGUGCUUAACACAUGCAAGUCGCACGAGAAAUCUUGAGCAAUCGAGAGAGUAAAGUGGCGCACGGGUGAGUAGCGCGUGGGUAACCUACCCUUGGGUUGGGGAUAACUCCUCGAAAGGGGUGCUAAUACCGAGUAAUAUUUCAGUGUCUUCGGAGACUGAAAUCAAAGGAGGCCUCUGCAUGCAAGCUUCCGCCCAGGGAUGGGCCCGCGUACCAUUAGCUAGUUGGUAGGGUAACGGCCUACCAAGGCUACGAUGGUUAGCUGGUCUGAGAGGAUGGCCAGCCACACUGGAACUGAGACACGGUCCAGACUCCUACGGGUGGCUG